GACGAACGCUGGCGGCGUGCUUAACACAUGCAAGUCGAACGGAAAGGCCCUGCUUUUGUGGGGUGCUCGAGUGGCGAACGGGUGAGUAACACGUGAGUAACCUGCCCUUGACUUUGGGAUAACUUCAGGAAACUGGGGCUAAUACCGGAUAGGAGCUCCUGCUGCAUGGUGGGGGUUGGAAAGUUUCGGCGGUUGGGGAUGGACUGGCGGCUUAUCAGCUUGUUGGUGGGGGAGUGGCUGACCAAGGCUUUGACGGGUAGCCGGCCGGAGAGGGUGAACGGGGUCCUGGGUACUGCGAGAGGCAGCAGACGGGAACGGGGGGCAGUAGUCGGGAGUCUGAUACAGUGGGCGGGAGCGUGAGGCAGCGACGUUGGGUGCGUGAUGCCGGUUUUCGGGGUGUAAAAAGCUUUAGCCUGUGACGAAGCGGGAGUGACGGUAAUGGGUAAAGAAGCACCGGCUAACUACGUG
This 468-nucleotide ribosomal RNA is filed under the name uncultured bacterium. Its description in RNAcentral is "partial 16S ribosomal RNA". It matches the Rfam family "Bacterial small subunit ribosomal RNA", at positions 28 to 507 of the family's 1533-position model. The record is from RNAcentral.